Molecule: ribosomal RNA, 502 nt
Filed under: Bacillus sp. (in: firmicutes)
Lineage: Bacteria; Bacillati; Bacillota; Bacilli; Caryophanales; Bacillaceae
Description: bacterial SSU rRNA
Rfam family: Bacterial small subunit ribosomal RNA
Source: RNAcentral
AGAGUUUGAUCAUGGCUCAGGAUGAACGCUGGCGGCGUGCCUAAUACAUGCAAGUCGAGCGAAUGGAUUAAGAGCUUGCUCUUAUGAAGUUAGCGGCGGACGGGUGAGUAACACGUGGGUAACCUGCCCAUAAGACUGGGAUAACUCCGGGAAACCGGGGCUAAUACCGGAUAACAUUUUGAACCGCAUGGUUCGAAAUUGAAAGGCGGCUUCGGCUGUCACUUAUGGAUGGACCCGCGUCGCAUUAGCUAGUUGGUGAGGUAACGGCUCACCAAGGCAACGAUGCGUAGCCGACCUGAGAGGGUGAUCGGCCACACUGGGACUGAGACACGGCCCAGACUCCUACGGGAGGCAGCAGUAGGGAAUCUUCCGCAAUGGACGAAAGUCUGACGGAGCAACGCCGCGUGAGUGAUGAAGGCUUUCGGGUCGUAAAACUCUGUUGUUAGGGAAGAACAAGUGCUAGUUGAAUAAGCUGGCACCUUGACGGUACCUAACCAAAAAG